GAUGAGCGCUGGCGGCGUGCCUAAUACAUGCAAGUCGAGCGAACGGACGAGAAGCUUGCUUUUCUGAUGUUAGCGGCGGACGGGUGAGUAACACGUGGAUAACCUACCUAUAAGACUGGGAUAACUUCGGGAAACCGGAGCUAAUACCGGAUAAUAUUUUGAACCGCAUGGUUCAAAAGUAAAAGACGGUCUUGCUGUCACUUAUAGAUGGAUCCGCGCUGCAUUAGCUAGUUGGUAAGGUAACGGCUUACCAAGGCAACGAUGCAUAGCCGACCUGAGAGGGUGAUCGGCCACACUGGAACUGAGACACGGUCCAGACUCCUACGGGAGGCAGCAGUAGGGAAUCUUCCGCAAUGGGCGAAAGCCUGACGGAGCAACGCCGCGUGAGUGAUGAAGGUCUUCGGAUCUUAAAACUCUGUUAUUAGGGAAGAACAUAUGUGUAAGUAACUGUGCACAUCUUGACGGUACCUAAUCAGAAAGCCACGGCUAACUACGUG
RNAcentral lists this ribosomal RNA (497 nucleotides) under uncultured bacterium. RNAcentral's name for it is "partial 16S ribosomal RNA". It matches the Rfam family "Bacterial small subunit ribosomal RNA", at positions 28 to 507 of the family's 1533-position model. The record is from RNAcentral.